CCCUUAGAUGUUCGGGGCCGCACGCGCGCUACACUGAAGGAAUCAGCACGUCUUUCUCCUUGUCCGAAAGGACUGGGUAACCCGCUGAACCUCCUUCGUGCUAGGGAUUGGGGCUUGUAAUUCUUCCCCAUGAACGAGGAAUUCCCAGUAAGCGCGAGUCAUAAGCUCGCGUUGAUUACGUCCCUGCCCUUUGUACACACCGCCCGUCGCUACUACCGAUUGGAUGGUUUAGUGAGAUCCUCGGAUUGGUCCCGGAGCGGCCUCUGGUCGUGCCGGAGUGCCGAAAAGAAUGUCGAACUUGAUCAUCUAGGGGAAGUAAAAGUCGUAACA
Molecule: ribosomal RNA, 330 nt
Filed under: uncultured eukaryote
Lineage: Eukaryota
Description: partial 18S ribosomal RNA
Rfam family: Eukaryotic small subunit ribosomal RNA
Source: RNAcentral